This 87-nucleotide non-coding RNA is filed under the name Rossellomorea vietnamensis. RNAcentral's name for it is "Bacillus vietnamensis c-di-GMP sequence". It matches the Rfam family "c-di-GMP-I riboswitch aptamer". From Rfam's summary of the family: GEMM was predicted in a large-scale screen for bacterial structured RNA regulatory elements. Genes associated with GEMM are involved in a diverse array of functions, including chemotaxis regulation, signal transduction, secretion and chitin. Lineage: Bacteria; Bacillati; Bacillota; Bacilli; Caryophanales; Bacillaceae. The record is from Rfam by way of RNAcentral.
UUUCGAAAAAGGCAAACUAAUUGAAAGAUUAGGACGCAAAACUACGGGUCUUCUAUUUUAAAAAAUAAUGAUCGCCGGGUUACCGAA